ACAUAUUUUUUAUUUUAUUUUUUCCUUCCAUUAAAUCUUUUAUUCAAAAGUAAUCUUUUGUAUUUUUGAUGUAUAUUGUGAAAUGAUAGCGAUAUCAAAGAAACAGUUAACAGAUGAAUUAAGAAAUGCCAUUAUUUGAAUUACGAUAAAAGAUCUCGAUUAUCGAAAUCGUUCUUUUUUCUUCCGGUAUCCUUCGUGAUAAAUUUCUUACCACUUUUUACGAAAAUAUUUACGACAGACCUUAUCGAGUUACGUAUUCAUUAAUUAACAUUGAUUAUUGUGGUUGAUCAAAGAUCAUUAUUAUUAUUAUUAAUAAAACUUUAUACGUGUUAUCACGUAAUUUUUUUAAAAGUUAAUAUCAUGGACGGCUGAAUUGAGGUUAUUUCUUCGUCCUGCGAAUUUCAUAAUUCGAAAGAAGCUUUGCAUUAAAACUCGAGAAGUUUGAUAUAUUCCCAUACAUUUCUAAAAAAAUAUUCGCAGAAAAUUUGUCAUAAGCGAUUAAAAUCAUAAACCAUGACGUUAUUUGUAUGAUCAAUCAAUCGAAAUAUUUUAUUUUGUUACAUCGAUGAGUAAUAUUGGAAAUGGACAUUGAUCCAAUUCGUCGUUAUAUUUUAAUUUCCGACGGUUUUCUUAUUAUUUUCAAAUGUUAAAAUGGAUUGAUUUUGUUUAAUGCAUCACGGGUUUGUAGGUAAAAUUAUAACGAGCAUUUCUAAUGUAUAUUUGGCAACAGAAUAUCAACAAUAAUAAUUACAAUAAUUAACAGCGCUUAUUGCGAAAUUAAUUAUAAAAGCGUUCGUAUGAAAUGUGUUUUUAUUUUAAAGGUAAACGUUGUAUGUAUUGAAAUAUUUUUUUAUAUUUAUAGAUAUUGGUUGGAAAUAGCCAAUAUAAAAAAAAAGAACGAGGAGGUCAUUACGUAUUAUAAAAAGCAAAGGAGACAAAAAACUUCUUUCCAGUUGGGAUGAUAUAAAAAAAGAAAUCCUAGAACGUUUGACGAUUAAAUGUAGUUUAGAUGUUUCUUUUUUUUUAUUGCCUAGAAACAGUGAUUCAUUUUCACAAAGUAUAUUCUUGGUACAAUAUAAUGAUUCAUGAAAUAUUGUUAUAUUCUUUUUUUUUCAAUAAUGAUUGUUAUAAAACUAAUUGAUCUUUUUAUAACGAAGAAACUAGUGGAAUUUUUGAAAUAACGGUAUUUUAAAUAUCUUAAAUAACAUAGUUUUAUAUAUUCAUAUCUAUAAAUUUUUUUAUAGAUCUUUUUUUUUGGAUAAGACGGAAUUGUUAGAAAAUUAUCGAUUUGUAAUUUGGUAAAUAAUAUACGUGUGUGUAAAAAUAACAAGGAUUGCAUUGCUAUUGUAAUAUGGAAAAGCAAAUCUGAUCUGUACUUUUGAAUAUAGACUAUGAUACUAAAGAAAGGAUCGAAGAUAAGUUGAAAGUCUUUAAAGACAUUGUAUAAAGAAAGCAUUCCAUAGAUUUUAUAUUCGCUUGUCAUUUUCGUAGAAGAAAUAACAAAGGAUCAACUGUGUUUCAAUUAUUUUUUUCAAGUGUGCCAUGUUGAAUGUUUUGGUAGUAAAACAGUUGAAAGAAAAGUUUCAGACGAUAUCCAUAGAAUAUAAAUUAGAAGAGAAGGUUUUGGAUGUUGUAAUGAUAUGUCUGUAUCAUUUUGUAAUACUCAUAUACGAGUGCCCUUGAGAAGCUACACACUGCCAGAGACGUUGCAUCCAUUCUUGGAAAUAAUGCUGAAAUCUUUAGCUACCACUGCUUUUAGUUGAUUACAAUUUUUUGGAUUUCACAGUUCUAAAAUGAGAUAUCUUAGGAUGGCUUUUAGUUUUUAUGUAAAGAAAAAAGUCGCAUAAAUUUAAAUCAGGGAAAUAUUUUUGUUGGGAAAAAACUCAUUUACAAGAAAAAUUUUUUGUAAUCAAUUUAGCACAAACCCUACUCAUACUCAAAUUAUUUAUGAGUGAAAAUAUGAAUAAUUUAGUGAGUUAAAUUUAAUUCAUUAGAAUCAAUCUAUCAAACGACGAUCUUACACGAGAGUCUUUUAUUAUUGCAACAAUUUUUUCGUUUUUUAAAAUAUAAGAUCUUACAGAACGAAGUUUCAUUUUCUACAGUCUCAUUGUCGUUCACAGAUUCAUCUGUUUUCAUAUCACCUUACGUUCUGGACGAAGCUUGAUCUCCGAAAGCAAAUUUCAAUUUAUUAAACGUUGCGUCCUCUUGAACUUUAACGCAAAAUUUACUAGCAUAACGUGUAAAUUGAUAUGUUGUUGUUCCAUUUCCGUAACAUGCCAUUGAAACAUAUUUUCAUAAAAUUUGUUAUGAAAUCGCUCGUGUUGGUUCGACCGAAUUGAAAUUGAUAUUGAAAGUAGAGAUGUAUGUCUCAAAUAACAUAGCCUUAUAAAUGCUAUAAUCAAUGUCUACGUUAUACCAUUUGAAAAAUUGUCUUACGUUAGCUUUUAUACGUGAAAUGAUCGUACGAAGCAUUGCUAGAUAUUAGUAAAUUAAAUAUAUAUAUUUCUUUUUUAUUUAUAAACAAGUUAUAUAACCAUUACAAAUUUCUCCAUUGUUAAAACAUUUAACUAAAGGCACUGUUGGAACACAUUUUUUAAAUAUCACAUCGAGCGUUUCUUCAACUUUACAUUGUUUUUAAAGGCCCUCAAUUUAUCUUCGAUCUUUUAGUAUCACAGUCUGUAUCCAAAGAUACAGAUCAGGUUUGCAUUUCCGUAUCACUUAUUGUAAUAGCAGCGCUAAAUCAAGUUUAUUUAUUAUAAAUGUUUAGUAUAAUUGUAUCCAUAAAUCUGCGAUGCAUUAGACAGAUUCAAUCAAUUUUAAUAUUUAAUUAUAUAUAAGAAUAUAAUAUUUCAAUUGAUUCAUCAAACAAAUAUUGUAAACAAUAUUAUAUCAAGAGACCUGUGUAUGAUUUUAGUUGUUUAUUGAAGAAUGACAAAUUUUCUGUAAAUAUAUCAUAAAUGUAUGAAAAUAAAUUGAACUUUUCGAGUUUUAAUGUAAAACCGAAUUAAGAGCUUCGUGAGAAGGUCUAAUAACCUUGU
Molecule: long non-coding RNA, 3038 nt
Organism: Vespula vulgaris
Lineage: Eukaryota; Metazoa; Arthropoda; Insecta; Hymenoptera; Vespidae
Exons: 3
Source: RefSeq, a predicted model, not a curated record